Molecule: ribosomal RNA, 300 nt
Filed under: Triticum aestivum (bread wheat)
Lineage: Eukaryota; Viridiplantae; Streptophyta; Magnoliopsida; Poales; Poaceae
Description: partial small subunit ribosomal RNA
Source: RNAcentral
AUGGCGACACAAGAGGAACCAAACAGAACCCGUCGGGGCAAGGAGCAUGUGGAAGAACUCUUGAGUCGUUUGGAGCUUCAGGAAGAUGAGGAGGAACAAUUUUUCUGGGAAGAAGAAUUCAAGGAGGAGAGGAUCGAGGCCAAGUGGCUUACGAUCGCGAAGGUGCACACCAAUAAGGGUUUCAGCCAUUCGGCUCUAUAUGCUGAUAUGAGAUCGGCGUGGAACCCAGUCAAGGAGGUCCGUUGGCGCAGGGUUGAUGAAAAUUUGUUCACGGUACAAUUCGGAUGCCUGGGGAACUGG